UACAGAGGGUGCGAGCGUUAAUCGGAAUUACUGGGCGUAAAGCGUGCGUAGACGGCUAUCUAAGUCGGGUGUGAAAGCCCCGGGCUCAACCUGGGAAUUGCAUUCGAGACUGAAUAGCUAGGGUACGGUAGAGGGAAGUGGAAUUUCCGGUGUAGCGGUGAAAUGCGUAGAUAUCGGAAGGAACAUCAGUGGCGAAAGCGACUUCCUGGACCAGCACUGACACUGAGGCACGAAAGCGUGGGGAGCAAACAGG
Molecule: ribosomal RNA, 253 nt
Filed under: uncultured bacterium
Lineage: Bacteria
Description: partial 16S ribosomal RNA
Rfam family: Bacterial small subunit ribosomal RNA
Source: RNAcentral